This 486-nucleotide long non-coding RNA is filed under the name Physcomitrium patens. RNAcentral describes it as "long non-coding RNA (PPAT_LNC011014)". Lineage: Eukaryota; Viridiplantae; Streptophyta; Bryopsida; Funariales; Funariaceae. The record is from RNAcentral.
GAUACAGUGGAGAGGCUUGUCAACGUCACCGUAAUUGCCCCAGAUAACAAUGCUUUCAAUGGUACCAAUGGAUUACUCUCUCUUCUUCGACAGAACAACCUCAACCUGACUGACGUUACUGCCCCGUAAGUGACCGCAUUGGUUUUCUUCCUCUGUGAUCCAAAUCUCCAAAGUUGAAGGCUGAAGGGUGCUCGGAGUUUUGAGUGCUUUUAACCAUCCAUUUGAUAAUUCAAGUCACCACUGUAAACUAGGGUGGAUGCAAGGUGGACUAAUGUAGUCGUGCUGUCAUGUCAAAUCCUUACAACAGAGGACAGAAUCGUGCUGCCAGCAUCCUGCUGUAUCACAUCAUUGCGGGUCCUGCUAGAGCCGCCGACCUCAAGAACAACCAGGUCUUGACCACCUUCCUCGGACCAAACUACACACUGCGAGUGAACAAGCAGACCGCUCCCACCCUCAUUGUCUCUUUCGUCGGAACUGGAAGCAACG